RNAcentral lists this ribosomal RNA (1221 nucleotides) under seawater metagenome. Its description in RNAcentral is "bacterial LSU rRNA". It matches the Rfam family "Bacterial large subunit ribosomal RNA", at positions 1103 to 2312 of the family's 2925-position model. The record is from RNAcentral.
GGCUUAGAAGCAGCCAUCCUUUAAAGAAAGCGUAAUAGCUCACUAGUCGAGUCGGUCUGCGCGGAAGAUGUAACGGGGCUAAACUAGUCACCGAAGCUGCGGAUUCAAUCUUAGGAUUGAGUGGUAGGGGAGCGUUCUGUAAGCCGUUGAAGGUGUGUUGUAAAGCAUGCUGGAGGUAUCAGAAGUGCGAAUGCUGACAUGAGUAACGAUAAGGGGAGUGAAAAACUCCCCCGCCGAAAGACCAAGGUUUCCUGUCCCAUGUUAAUCAGGGCAGGGUAAGUCGGCCCCUAAGGCGAGGCGGAAACGCGUAGUCGAUGGGAAACAGAUUAAUAUUUCUGUACUUCUAUAUAUUGCGAAGGAGGGACGGAGUAGGCUAGGUGAGCACGGCGUUGGUAGUCCGUGUGAAAGUAUGUAGGCGGUUGUCUUAGGUAAAUCCGGGACUUCAUUAACGCUGAGAUACGAGACGAGACUCUACGGAGUUGAAGUCAUUGAUGCCAUGCUUCCAGGAAAAGCUUCUAAGCUUCAGAUAUAUAGGAACCGUACCCCAAACCGACACAGGUGGUUAGGUAGAGAAUACUAAGGCGCUUGAGAGAACUCGGGUGAAGGAACUAGGCAAAAUAGUACCGUAACUUCGGGAGAAGGUACGCUCUCUAAUGUGAAUGACUUGCUCAGUAAGCAUCGGAGAGUCGAAGUAACCAGGUGGCUGGAACUGUUUAUUAAAAACACAGCACUGUGCAAAAUCGAAAGAUGACGUAUACGGUGUGACGCCUGCCCGGUGCCGGAAGGUUAAUUGAUUGGGUUAGCUCUGCGAAGCUCAUGAUCGAAGCCCCGGUAAACGGCGGCCGUAACUAUAACGGUCCUAAGGUAGCGAAAUUCCUUGUCGGGUAAGUUCCGACCUGCACGAAUGGCGUAAUCAUGGCCACACUGUCUCCACCCGAGACUCAGUGAAAUUGAAAUUGCGGUUAAGAUGCCGUAUACCCGCGGCUAGACGGAAAGACCCCGUGAACCUUUACUAUAGCUUGACAGUGAACAUUGCUCCUACAUGUGUAGGAUAGGUGGGAGGCUUUGAAACCGCGUCGCUAGAUGCGGUGGAGCCAACCUUGAAAUACCACCCUUGUAUGCGUGAUGUUCUAACCUAGGGCCCUUAUCGGGCUUGGGGACACUGUCUGGUGGGUAGUUUGACUGGGGCGGUCUCCUCCCAAAGAGUAACGGAGGAGCACG